This 461-nucleotide ribosomal RNA is filed under the name uncultured bacterium. RNAcentral describes it as "partial 16S ribosomal RNA". It matches the Rfam family "Bacterial small subunit ribosomal RNA", at positions 339 to 795 of the family's 1533-position model. The record is from RNAcentral.
CUACGGCGCAGCAGUGGGGAAUAUUGCACAAUGGGCGCAAGCCUGAUGCAGCCAUGCCGCGUGUAUGAAGAAGGCCUUCGGGUUGUAAAGUACUUUCAGCGGGGAGGAAGGGAGUAAAGUUAAUACCUUUGCUCAUUGACGUUACCCGCAGAAGAAGCACCGGCUAACUCCGUGCCAGCAGCCGCGGUAAUACGGAGGGUGAAAGCGUUAAUCGGAAUACUGGGCGUAAAGCGCACGCAGGCGGUUUGUUAAGUCAGAUGUGAAAUCCCCGGGCUCAACCUGGGAACUGCAUCUGAUACGGGCAAGCUUGAGUCUCGUAGAGGGGGGUAGAAUUCCAGGUGUAGCGGUGAAAUGCGUAGAGAUCUGGAGGAAUACCGGUGGCGAAGGCGGCCCCCUGGACGAAGACUGACGCUCAGGUGCGAAAGCGUGGGGAGCAAACAGGAUUAGAUACCCGCGUAGUC